Zalophus californianus (California sea lion) is the source of this 260-nucleotide long non-coding RNA. RefSeq lists it as uncharacterized. The transcript has 3 exons. The record is from RefSeq and is a predicted model, not a curated record. Lineage: Eukaryota; Metazoa; Chordata; Mammalia; Carnivora; Otariidae.
CAGAUGCUUUGCUGAUAUUCCUUCAGUGUAUUUACUUCUAACAGCCUUGGGAGAUGGGGAAACUGAAGCCCAAGGUGGUUAAAUAAUGUGCCCAAGGGCCUUUCAUAAGGAUGGUGUGGAUUUAAACAGAGCUCCACCUAUGUGCAAAGCCCAUGUUGCUCAUCACUAUUUUUUUCAGGGAAAAGCAACAAGAAUGCAAUUUGGGAAAAUAAUGAAAGUCAACUUCGUCACACUCCAGUGCCUCCCUCUGUGAUGUUACC